Molecule: transfer RNA, 82 nt
Filed under: Hermanssonia centrifuga
Lineage: Eukaryota; Fungi; Basidiomycota; Agaricomycetes; Polyporales; Meruliaceae
Description: Phlebia centrifuga tRNA
Rfam family: tRNA
About the family: Transfer RNA (tRNA) molecules are approximately 80 nucleotides in length. Their secondary structure includes four short double-helical elements and three loops (D, anti-codon, and T loops).
Source: Rfam by way of RNAcentral
GUCCUUGUCGAUUAGUGGUUAGAUCAUCACGUUGUGGACGCACAAAUCCGUGAAGACGGAGGCUCGAAUCCUCCCUGGGACA